RNAcentral lists this ribosomal RNA (253 nucleotides) under uncultured bacterium. Its description in RNAcentral is "partial 16S ribosomal RNA". It matches the Rfam family "Bacterial small subunit ribosomal RNA", at positions 524 to 776 of the family's 1533-position model. The record is from RNAcentral.
UACGUAGGUGGCAAGCGUUGUCCGGAUUUAUUGGGUUUAAAGGGUGCGUAGGCGGUCUAUUAAGUCAGUGGUGAAAUAUGGCAGCUUAACUGUCAAGGUGCCAUUGAUACUGAUGGACUUGAGUGAAGUCGAGGUUGGCGGAAUUGACGGUGUAGCGGUGAAAUGCUUAGAUAUCAGGAGGAACACCGGUGGUGUAAACGGCUUUCUGGACCAUAACUGACGCUGAGGCACGAAAGCGUGGGUAGCAAACAGG